Molecule: ribosomal RNA, 498 nt
Filed under: uncultured bacterium
Lineage: Bacteria
Description: partial 16S ribosomal RNA
Rfam family: Bacterial small subunit ribosomal RNA
Source: RNAcentral
GAUGAACGCUGGCGGCGUGCCUAAUACAUGCAAGUCGAGCGAACAGACGAGGAGCUUGCUCCUCUGACGUUAGCGGCGGACGGGUGAGUAACACGUGGAUAACCUACCUAUAAGACUGGGAUAACUUCGGGAAACCGGAGCUAAUACCGGAUAAUAUAUUGAACCGCAUGGUUCAAUAGUGAAAGACGGUUUUGCUGUCACUUAUAGAUGGAUCCGCGCCGCAUUAGCUAGUUGGUAAGGUAACGGCUUACCAAGGCAACGAUGCGUAGCCGACCUGAGAGGGUGAUCGGCCACACUGGAACUGAGACACGGUCCAGACUCCUACGGGAGGCAGCAGUAGGGAAUCUUCCGCAAUGGGUGAAAGCCUGACGGAGCAACGCCGCGUGAGUGAUGAAGGUCUUCGGAUCGUAAAACUCUGUUAUUAGGGAAGAACAAAUGUGUAAGUAACUAUGCACGUCUUGACGGUACCUAAUCAGAAAGCCACGGCUAACUACGUGC